This 328-nucleotide ribosomal RNA is filed under the name uncultured eukaryote. RNAcentral describes it as "partial 18S ribosomal RNA". It matches the Rfam family "Eukaryotic small subunit ribosomal RNA", at positions 1470 to 1796 of the family's 1831-position model. The record is from RNAcentral.
CCCUUAGAUGUUCUGGGCUGCACGCGCGCUACACUGAUGCGCUCAACGAGUUUACGACCUUGCCCGGAAGGGUUGGGUAAUCUUUUUAAAACGCAUCGUGAUGGGGAUAGAUUAUUGCAAUUAUUAAUCUUUAACGAGGAAUUCCUAGUAAGCGCGAGUCAUCAGCUUGCGUCGAUUACGUCCCUGCCCUUUGUACACACCGCCCGUCGCUCCUACCGAUUGGGUGUGCUGGUGAAAUGUUCGGAUCGGCCGUUUGUCGCGGUUUCCGCGGCUCGUGGCUGAGAAGUUCAUUAAACCCUCCCACCUAGAGGAAGGAGAAGUCGUAACA